UAGCAGCUGCUUGGUGAGAUUUCAGAGACCCAGAUUCACCCCAUCACUAUCAGCGACCAUGCACCAGUUUCCUUCACUUUGAGGAACAAAAGAAUCACACCAUCGGCUAAAAGCUGGAGAUUUAAUACAGCGUUGCUUAAA
Melanotaenia boesemani (Boeseman's rainbowfish) is the source of this 141-nucleotide long non-coding RNA. RefSeq lists it as uncharacterized. The transcript has 3 exons. NCBI's taxonomy places the organism in Eukaryota, Metazoa, Chordata, Actinopteri, Atheriniformes, Melanotaeniidae. The record is from RefSeq and is a predicted model, not a curated record.